RNAcentral lists this unclassified non-coding RNA (352 nucleotides) under soil metagenome. RNAcentral describes it as "partial contains 5.8S ribosomal RNA, internal transcribed spacer 2, and large subunit ribosomal RNA". The stretch from base 1 to 120 matches the Rfam family "5.8S ribosomal RNA", at positions 35 to 154 of the family's 154-position model. The record is from RNAcentral.
GAUGAAGAACGCAGCGAAAUGCGAUAAGUAAUGCGAAUUGCAGAAUCCGUGAGUCAUCGAAUCUUUGAACGCACAUUGCGCCCCUUGGUUAUUCCGAAGGGCAUGCCUGUUCGAGCGUCAUUAUCACCCCUCAAGCCCUGGCUUGGUGUUGGACUUUAGCUAUAGCUUUGCCUAUCAACUGGUCUCAAAGAUAGUGACGGCGCCCCAGAGGGAACCGGGUACGAGGAGCUUUUUACUAAGCAUGUAUCUGGGACGACUCUGGGCGACGGUCUUGUUAUACUUUUUACCUAAGUGUUGACCUCGGAUCAGGUAGGAAUACCCGCUGAACUUAAGCAUAUCAAUAAGCGGAGGA